Oncorhynchus tshawytscha (Chinook salmon) is the source of this 1314-nucleotide long non-coding RNA. The record is from Ensembl. NCBI's taxonomy places the organism in Eukaryota, Metazoa, Chordata, Actinopteri, Salmoniformes, Salmonidae.
GAAGUCAACAAAUGAUAGUGCCUGGGGAAUAGGAGUGGAACUUGGGGCUACAGGGCCUGGGUUAACCUCUACAUCACCAGAUGAAAAGAGGAGGAGUAGGAUAAGUGUACGGCUGAAGGCUAUAAGAACUGGUCGUCUAGUGCGUUGGGGAUAGAGAUGUCACGAAUAUCACCGAAGGUGGCUCCCCUUCCCAUUCGGGUGGCGCUCGGCGGUCAUCGUCGCCGGGCUACUAGCUGUCACCGAUCCUUUUUCCCUUUUCGUUUGGUUUUGUCUAAUUGUUUUCACCUGUUCCUUGUUGGGGUUUUUGGGUUGGUGUUAUUUAAGUUUGAUUAGCCCCCUUGUGUUUGUGUGGGCUUGUUUCUGUUAUGUAAAGGUGUUCGUUAUAUUGUGGGUUUUCCGCUGUCCGGUUUGAUACUUGUUUUUAAUUUGUUUUUACACUACUGCUACUCGCUGUUUAUUAUCUAUGCAUAGCCACUUUACCUCUACCUGUAUGUACAAAUUACCUCAACUAACCUUUCUCUCUCUGCACAUUUACACAGUAACGGAACCCCCUGUAUAUAGCCUCAUUGUUGUUAUUUUAUUGUGUUACUUUUUGUUAUUUUUUUACUUUAGUUUGGUAAAUAUUUUCUUAACUCUUUUUGAAUUGCAUUGUUGGUUAAGGGUCUGUAAGUAAGCAUUUCACUGUUGUAUUCAGCGCACACUUUUUUGAAAACAAUGUGAAAGUGAAACAGAAAUAGUUUGCAUUCCAGGCAAAGUCAUGCAUACAGAUGAGCAACACAAAGAAAAGAGUACUUGAUGCAGCAACGUGCAUGAUUAGUUGAUUGAUUGAUUGAUUUCUUUAUUCCAGUGUAUUUCACACACACAUUCCCACUAUCCUUAUUUGACAACAAUCUUGUUUUUUUGCAGUGUAGAAUUUACUCAUGCAGCUGAUUGAUUAAAUGGAGCAAUGCAUUGUCACCACUGCUGUAUUCUAAUAAAGUUGAUCCAGGUGACACCAUGUGGACAAUAAAGGACAAUGACCCAACACACUUCCAGGCUGUGUAAGGGCUAUUUGACCAAGAAAGAGAGUGAUGGAGUGCUGCAUCAGAUGACCUAGCCUCCACAAUCACUCGACCUUAACCCAAAUGAGAUGGUUUGGGAUGAGUUGGAGUGAAGUGAUGUGUUGGAGUGAAGGAAAAGCAGCCAACAAGUGCUCAGCAUAUGUGGAAACUCCUUCAAGACUUUUGGAAAGGCAUUCCAAGUGAAGCUGGUUGAGAGAAUGCUAAGAGUGUGCAAAGCUGUCAUCAAGGGUGGCUACUUUGAAGAAUCUAAAAU